RNAcentral lists this ribosomal RNA (941 nucleotides) under Kallistoskypha incarnata. RNAcentral's name for it is "eukaryotic LSU rRNA". It matches the Rfam family "Eukaryotic large subunit ribosomal RNA", at positions 32 to 979 of the family's 3401-position model. Lineage: Eukaryota; Fungi; Ascomycota; Pezizomycetes; Pezizales; Caloscyphaceae. The record is from RNAcentral.
ACUUAAGCAUAUCAAUAAGCGGAGGAAAAGAAACCAACAGGGAUUGCCUCAGUAACGGCGAGUGAAGCGGCAAAAGCUCAAAUUUGAAAUCUGGCGCCUGACGGUGUCCGAGUUGUAAUUUGGAGAGGAAGUUCCCGAAGGACCCCGCGAGCCCAUGUUCCUUGGAACAGGACGUCAUUGAGGGUGAGAACCCCGUUUGGCCCCGCGUUGCCCGGUUGUGGACUUCCUUCUACGAGUCGAGUUGUUUGGGAAUGCAGCUCAAAUUGGGUGGUAAAUCUCAUCUAAAGCUAAAUAUUGGCGAGAGACCGAUAGCGCACAAGUAGAGUGAUCGAAAGAUGAAAAGCACCUUGGAAAGGGAUUGAAACAGUACGUGAAAUUGUUGAAAGGGAAGCGCUUGAGACUAGGCACCCUCGGCCCGCAGAGCACGUGAGCUUCGUACUCGCGAGAGACUGCGGUGCCAGGCCAGCACCGGUUGUGGUGGCAGGAUAAAGAUCCGAUUGGGAAUGUGGCAUCCUUCGGGGUGUGUUAUAGCCCCGGGUCGUAUACUGCCGAUCGCGACCGUGGAACGCGUCCAAAAGACUCGGAUGCUGGCAUGCUGGUCCCAAGCGACCCGUCUUGAAACACGGACCAAGGAGUCUAACAUCUAUGCGAGUGUUUGGGUGUUGAAGCCCUCACGCGGAAUGAAAGUGAAAGGAGGUGCCAACCCCGCGAGGGGAGCAGCAUCGACCGAUCCUGAUGUUCUCGGAAGGAUUUGAGUAAGAGCAUAGCUGUUGGGACCCGAAAGAUGGUGAACUAUGCCUGAAUAGGGUGAAGCCAGAGGAAACUCUGGUGGAGGCUCGCAGCGGUUCUGACGUGCAAAUCGAUCGUCAAAUUUGGGUAUAGGGGCGAAAGACUAAUCGAACCAUCUAGUAGCUGGUUCCUGCCGAAGUUUCCCUCAGGAA